Molecule: ribosomal RNA, 253 nt
Filed under: uncultured bacterium
Lineage: Bacteria
Description: partial 16S ribosomal RNA
Rfam family: Bacterial small subunit ribosomal RNA
Source: RNAcentral
UACGGAGGGUGCAAGCGUUAAUCGGAAUCACUGGGCGUAAAGGGCACGCAGGCGGCCUGUUAAGUCAGAUGUGAAAGCCCCGGGCUUAACCUGGGAAUAGCAUUUGAGACUGGGGGUCUAGAGAACUUUAGAGGGGGGUAGAAUUCCACGUGUAGCGGUGAAAUGCGUAGAUAUGUGGAAGAACACCGAUGGCGAAGGCAGCCACCUGGGUAUGUUCUGACGCUCAUGUGCGAAAGCGUGGGGAGCAAACAGG